AGUGAACGCUGGCGGUAUGCCUAACACAUGCAAGUCGAACGGCAGCACAGUAAUCGCUCUCUCUUACGGGUGGCGAGUGGCGGACGGGUCAGGAAUACAUCGGCAUCUACUUUUUCGUGGGGGACAACGUAGGGAAACUUACGCUAAUACCGCAUACGAUCUACGGGUGAAAGCAUGGGAUCUUCGGACCUUGCGCGAUUCAAUGAGCCGAUGUCGGAUUAGCUAGUUGGCGGGGUAAAGGCCCACCAAGGCGACGAUCCGUAGCUGGUCUGAGAGGAUGAUCAGCCACACUGGAACUGAGACACGGUCCAGACUCCUACGGGAGGCAGCAGUGGGGAAUAUUGGACAAUGGGCGAAAGCCUGAUCCAGCCAUACCGCGUGGGUGAAGAAGGCCUUCGGGUUGUAAAGCCCUUUUGUUGGGAAAGAAAAGCAGCAGGUUAAUACCCCGCUGUUCUGACGGUACCCAAAGAAUAAGCACCGGCUAACUUCGUG
This 492-nucleotide ribosomal RNA is filed under the name uncultured bacterium. RNAcentral's name for it is "partial 16S ribosomal RNA". It matches the Rfam family "Bacterial small subunit ribosomal RNA", at positions 29 to 507 of the family's 1533-position model. The record is from RNAcentral.